GCCCGGGUGGUGAAAUUGGUAGACACAGCGGACUUAAAAUCCGCGGCUUCUCGCAGGAGGGCGUGCCGGUUCGAUCCCGGCCCCGGGCACCA
Molecule: transfer RNA, 92 nt
Filed under: Aquincola sp.
Lineage: Bacteria; Pseudomonadati; Pseudomonadota; Betaproteobacteria; Burkholderiales; Sphaerotilaceae
Description: tRNA-Leu
Rfam family: tRNA
About the family: Transfer RNA (tRNA) molecules are approximately 80 nucleotides in length. Their secondary structure includes four short double-helical elements and three loops (D, anti-codon, and T loops). Further hydrogen bonds mediate the characteristic L-shaped molecular structure. tRNAs have two regions of fundamental functional importance: the anti-codon, which is responsible for specific mRNA codon recognition, and the 3' end, to which the tRNAs corresponding amino acid is attached (by aminoacyl-tRNA synthetases). tRNAs cope with the degeneracy of the genetic code in two manners: having more than one tRNA (with a specific anti-codon) for a particular amino acid; and 'wobble' base-pairing, i.e. permitting non-standard base-pairing at the 3rd anti-codon position.
Source: RNAcentral